This 443-nucleotide ribosomal RNA is filed under the name uncultured bacterium. RNAcentral's name for it is "partial 16S ribosomal RNA". It matches the Rfam family "Bacterial small subunit ribosomal RNA", at positions 338 to 795 of the family's 1533-position model. The record is from RNAcentral.
CCUACGGGAGGCUGCAGUGGGGAAUAUUGGGCAAUGGAGGAAACUCUGACCCAGCAACGCCGCGUGAAUGAUGAAGGUCUUCGGUUUGUAAAGUUCUUUUCUAAGGGAAGAAGAAAGUGACGGUACCUUAGGAAUAAGCCUCGGCUAACUAAGUGCCAGCAGCCGCGGUAAUAAGUAGGAGGCGAGCGUUAUCCGGAAUUACUGGGUGUAAAGGGGGCGUAGGUGGUUUGGCAAGUUAGUAGCGUAACUCCAAGGCUCAACCUUGGAACUACUACUAAAACUGUUGGACUUGAGUGCAGGAGGGGCAACCGGAAUUCCUGGUGUAGCGGUGGAAUGCGUAGAUAUUAGGAGGAACACCAGUGGCGAAGGCGGGUUGCUAGACUGUAACUGACACUGAGGCACGAAAGCGUGGGGAGCAAACAGGAUUAGAGACCCUUGUAGUC